RNAcentral lists this ribosomal RNA (253 nucleotides) under uncultured bacterium. RNAcentral's name for it is "partial 16S ribosomal RNA". It matches the Rfam family "Bacterial small subunit ribosomal RNA", at positions 524 to 776 of the family's 1533-position model. The record is from RNAcentral.
UACGUAGGUGACAAGCGUUGUCCGGAUUUACUGGGCGUAAAGAGCGCGCAGGCGGUCGUUCAAGUCGAGUGUGAAAGCCCCCGGCUCAACUGGGGAGGGUCAUUCGAUACUGAUCGACUCGAAGGCAGGAGAGGGAAGUGGAAUUCCCGGUGUAGUGGUGAAAUGCGUAGAUAUCGGGAGGAACACCAGUGGCGAAGGCGACUUCCUGGCCUGUCCUUGACGCUGAGGCGCGAAAGCUAGGGGAGCAAACGGG